Non-coding RNA from Myotis davidii, 129 nucleotides. NCBI's taxonomy places the organism in Eukaryota, Metazoa, Chordata, Mammalia, Chiroptera, Vespertilionidae. The record is from Rfam.
GUCUCUAGAGUCAUGCUUGGGUAUUAGCUAUUGCCUUAUUGUGCUAGAGUCCUCGAAGAGCAAUUCUUGACCUUAUAAACUGACUGUGGCCCUACUACGGAAUAGUCAGUCACCAGGCUACUGACACGC